RNAcentral lists this non-coding RNA (21 nucleotides) under Arabidopsis thaliana (thale cress). Lineage: Eukaryota; Viridiplantae; Streptophyta; Magnoliopsida; Brassicales; Brassicaceae. The record is from RNAcentral.
UAUUUGAAAAUUAGCCGCCGA